Long non-coding RNA from Nerophis ophidion (straightnose pipefish), 914 nucleotides. RefSeq lists it as uncharacterized. The transcript is spliced from 3 exons. The record is from RefSeq and is a predicted model, not a curated record. NCBI's taxonomy places the organism in Eukaryota, Metazoa, Chordata, Actinopteri, Syngnathiformes, Syngnathidae.
UCACUCAAAGGCGAGGAGGACGAGGACAGAAAAGGUCGAGGAGGCCGUGGAGCGGCCAGAUGGAGACAUGGCCGGAGGGACGGGAGGAGAAAGAGACGGGACGAAUAAUGGCGCCCAUGUGAAGCUUGCUGAAGAACACAACUCAAUGGCUGGCUGGACUCUCACUGCACAGCCUUGGGGGUAAACAGCAGCCACUUGUAACCCACUCACAUCUCCAAACCAGACCGGCAAUCAUAGAAAAAAAGGUCCCUUUGAUAGGGGGACGCUCCUUCAAAGUAAAACUGUAUCUAGGAAUCUGUUUCAUCAGCGCAGAAUGGACUGUUUUAAAGUCUGACUGCCAGCCUGUAAAUCUGGUUUUGUUUUGUUUUCUGGACUCUUGUUCCAUUUUGAACUUCCUGGUUUGCUUUUGUUACCAUGUCAACUCAUUAGUUCCCACCUUGUCUCGCCCCUGCCCUCAGUCCCGCACCUGUUCCUGAUUAUCACAGCCAGUAUUUAAGUCAUUUUCUUUCUGUUCAUCAGGCUGGGAACUUUGCUUUCAUUGCCUUUCGAUGCCUUUCAUACUUCAUGCCAUGCUUUUCGGUUCGUCCACGCCAAUGUCUCAAAGGGCUGCACAAACCACCACGACAUCCUCGGUAGGCCCACAUAAGGGCAAGGAAAACUCACACCCAGUGGAACGUCGGUGACAAUGAUAACUAUGAGAACCUUGGAGAGGAGGAAAGCAAUGGAUGUCGAGCGGGUCUAACAUGAUACUGCGAAAGUUCAAUCCACAAUGGAUCCAACACAGUCGCGAGAGUCCAGUCCAAAGCGGAUCCAACACAGCAGCGAGAGUCCCGUUCACAGUGGAGCCAGCAGGAAACCAUCCCAAGCGGAGGUGGAUCAGCAUCGCAGAUAUGUCCCCAGCCGAUACACAGGCA